UACGAAGGGGGGCUAGCGUUGCUCGGAAUCACUGGGCGUAAAGCGCACGUAGGCGGACUCUUAAGUCGGUGGUGAAAUCCUGGAGCUCAACUCCAGAACUGCCUUCGAUACUGAGAGUCUCGAGUCCGAGAGAGGUGAGUGGAACUGCGAGUGUAGAGGUGAAAUUCGUAGAUAUUCGCAAGAACACCAGUGGCGAAGGCGGCUCACUGGCUCGGUACUGACGCUGAGGUGCGAAAGCGUGGGGGAGCAAACAGG
This 255-nucleotide ribosomal RNA is filed under the name uncultured bacterium. Its description in RNAcentral is "partial 16S ribosomal RNA". It matches the Rfam family "Bacterial small subunit ribosomal RNA", at positions 524 to 776 of the family's 1533-position model. The record is from RNAcentral.